UACGUAGGACCCGAGCGUUAUCCGGAAUUACUGGGCGUAAAGAGUUGCGUAGGUGGUUUGUUAAGUGAAUAGUGAAAUCGUGCGGCUCAACCGUAUACACAUUAUUUAAACUGACAGACUUGAGUAUGGUAGAGGUCACUGGAAUUCCAAGUGUAGGAGUGAAAUCCGUAGAUAUUUGGAGGAACACCGAUGGCGUAGGCAGGUGACUGGACCAUUACUGACACUGAGGCACGAAAGCGUGGGGAGCAAACGGG
RNAcentral lists this ribosomal RNA (254 nucleotides) under uncultured bacterium. RNAcentral describes it as "partial 16S ribosomal RNA". It matches the Rfam family "Bacterial small subunit ribosomal RNA", at positions 524 to 776 of the family's 1533-position model. The record is from RNAcentral.